GGCACUACACCCUCAUCCCUCUCGAUCUCCGAUUACGGCGACCAGCGCGGCGGCGUUGGGUGACGACCGGCAGCCCCCCCUCCUCACCUUCAGCUCCUUUCUCUCCCUCUGAAAUCCUUCCGACAGACAUGCCGGACUCCGAUGGUUAACCGACGACUCACACCACCACUCGAUUACUUCUGUAUAUAUACCACGCACACCACCCAACGAGUCCAUCUGCAACGGCGACAGUCACGGUGGCCCUGGUUCCCCUCCGUCAAAUCUCCGGCAAUCUCGUCUCGAGUUUCGGGACUCGGUUCGGUCAGACUCAGAUUCAUAUGCGGGUUUCUCUCGGCUCGGGUUUCAGUUUCAGUUGGUUCAGUUUUGGUUUCGGGUUCAGGUUCCGGCCGACGUCAAUCAACUCCGGCCGACAACAGUUAGGCGGCUCGUUUCUGUUCACUUCAGUUUUGGAGCUCGGGUCGUGAUUCAGGCUUGUUUCGAGUUCGAUCAAGACAGCCAACGGGUUCGGUCCUGUUUCGGGUCUUGAUUCGUGUAUUGUUUCAGCUUUCUGUUCGGGUCAAACCUGGUCGGCUUCGGUCAAACCAGUCAACUAGUCAACACGGGUUACUUGCGAGACUUGGAGUCGCAAACGUAACCACUCAUAAUCUCGAGACUUUGGUGUUCCAUCCUUCUCAUCUCAUACACCC
Helianthus annuus (common sunflower) is the source of this 686-nucleotide long non-coding RNA. RefSeq lists it as uncharacterized. The transcript has 3 exons. NCBI's taxonomy places the organism in Eukaryota, Viridiplantae, Streptophyta, Magnoliopsida, Asterales, Asteraceae. The record is from RefSeq and is a predicted model, not a curated record.